CUUGAGUUACGGACUGGGGUUGG
This 23-nucleotide microRNA is filed under the name Gallus gallus (chicken). Its description in RNAcentral is "gga-miR-6569-3p". The record is from miRBase by way of RNAcentral. Lineage: Eukaryota; Metazoa; Chordata; Aves; Galliformes; Phasianidae.